This is an RNA transcript of Schistocerca gregaria, 4181 nucleotides long. It is a transcript of the gene named glucosamine 6-phosphate N-acetyltransferase-like, with no coding region annotated. Lineage: Eukaryota; Metazoa; Arthropoda; Insecta; Orthoptera; Acrididae. The record is from RefSeq and is a predicted model, not a curated record. The transcript is spliced from 9 exons.
CUCAUUUUUUCAACUAAACUCAUAGACCUCUUUUAACACCUAAACCAAGUAAACCCUCAAAAUCUGCACUCAGUGUAUUCCAUGCCUCGUAGAACAAAUUGCCUCAAACAGUCUAUCAUCACUUGACACCAUGGAAGACCGAGUUCGAGACGACUGUACAUCUAAAUGUUGAAAAUAAUGAUGUCGAAAAAUCCACAGACACCAAUCUGACAGGCAAUAAAAAGUGACAAACUCAUCGAAUCACAUUCAAUUCUUCGGUGCUAAAAGAACAGAUCAAAUAGGCGUUCAUUCCGGUUCAUCCAUGCGUUCAAACGUUAUUUGUCCUCCCUCCUAACUGGGAUCUUUUUUGUUUCGAGCCUUUCAGAUCCGAGCUCAUGCAGCAAAGAGUACACAUAUUGUCCCAUGAGUCUGUAUGCCAAUCCAAUAGUACAGCGUAGACAGUAUAAAAAUUACGUCGGUACAAUUCGGUAUCCUUUGUACAAGCCUGCCUCUUCAACUUCAAACGCUACCAAACGAAAAAAAACCUUUUCACGUCUCUGUUUCUAGACGUCUGUGAAGCUAGACGAAUUUGCGUACAAUGGUUGCACGUUUUGGCCGUCCAAGUUACGAGACUAAUUCGUCAGGGUGCACCGCCGAGUCCUUACACGUCUCAGAGAUGGAUAUUUUUGCGAUGUCCACAAUUUGACAUGGCAUUCUUAGUAUAGAAGGAUAGAGUACUUUCUAGCUGAUUGCAACGUGAACAGAAAUGGGAAGAUAACAAAAAAUUUUCUGCUCUAUAAAUGAUGUUACAUAUGUUGUCAUGGCUUUUUGACAACUUGCUAAUUACUGUUUUUUACUCUGACCAGAGAUAUAGCAGAGGUAUAGCAAUAUUUUUAAUCCAUUUUCAGCGCAUCUGAAGCUCUCUCCUGGUACAGAAACUUAGAGAAGCUCUGAUUAUGUGAAAACAGGAAGAGACAACUGACCGAUUUGAUAUGCUUCAACUUACACGCAGUUAACGCAUGCCUACUUAGACACCAACAACACCAUCAGCACAUUCGGCAUCUAAAAACAAGUUACACUGGUUUGAACUUUGAAUUGGCCAAUUUAUGCAUUCCCCUUGUAGAACUUGAUCUUCGAGCAGCCUUUUAUUCCUCCUGAUGAAUUUAGCUCUUCAUUUUUGACCUCUCUCUAGACGCGCUCUAAAAUUGAAUAUAUCCAGACGCUUUAUCCUAUGCAAAACGGUCUCCUCAUUGCGUCACAUAAUCGUAUGGUCAAUCAGCAAUAGACUCUCAUUUCGAGUUCACUCCCCGAAUUCUGGUAUGCAGGUUUGAACCUAUUCAAGACAAAAGGUCACGAAUAUUUCUAUUCAAAAAAAGAUUGACCAAAAAUCACCACCGAUUGAAAAUUCUAAAUCAGAGUUUUCAGCUCAGAUAAGCAGAUUAAAGAACAGAAUACAAGCCUGGCAAUGUAUGCCGUAACGCAGACAGUCUAGCUGCGAAUAGAAUUCGAAGGCGAAUAUGAAUUUACACUAUUUUCUUGAAAUUUUAGAUAAACGGUUACGCGAAACCGAGUAGUUGUCCUCAUACUUGAUUUUCACGUAAUUCCUUUCCAUUUCAUUUUACACUAUUUCCAACUGAGAAGAGAUUGCGAACUGCAGUUGUUCAGGUGUCUCACUAGUAUUUUAAAGAUAGCCUCUACCUACCCUUAGACACCAAUCAAAAAGUGAACAUCUCGCUUGUUUGAACAAGGUUGAAACAGAUUUAACAGCAGCCUACAACAGUUUUACUGGACUUCUAGUCGUACCGAGAGCACCAGGAGCCAGCGUAAAAUAAAAAAUUGUUUGCUACGAAUUAAUUAUGGAAGUUAAUUCUGUGUUAGUUAAUAGUGAUUUUAUUAGCUCGGACUACACCUCCAAUAUAAUGAAUCAUCUAUCGCCGUUGUCGAACAUAAAACAGCAAAACGACGACGCUACCAAAUACAGAUAUGAUAGAAUGUAUAAUUUUAGAGGGGAUGGUGCAAUUAUGGUUCCAAAUUAUGGACAAGUUAUAUACGAAGAAAACGGCACCAAUCCUGGAUACAAACCGAGCUGCGAAAAUAUGAACCUAUGUCAAGAAAACAUGCAGCACUCAAUCCAGCAUCAGGUGAAUGUGAAUUCCAAUAUGAAUUGUGCAUGUUUUUUGAACCCAAUGCUUGAUCCACGUAUGGUCGUUAACGAUACAGAUGGUGUACCCCAAGUCGAUAUAGAUACGUAUAGUGACUCCAAUACUUCGAAUUUUGGAGGCAGCAUGCAGCAGAAUCCAGGCGACAGGUAUUCGUUAAGUACCGACAACGACAUCAUACAAAAAGGGAAUAUUACGCAAAAAAAUCAAGUUCUAAAUUCCAAUUAUUUGAUUUAUUCUAUAGCGUCUGAAGCCGACCUCAAUGAUAGCACCUGCAGGACAAACAGUGGUCUAGAUCUGGGGGACAACUGCAAUGCCAAUGUUCCAGAAAUGGGCGGAGAUGUUGCCGAUUCCGGAGGUGGCAUCCUUAGUACUCGAAAUAAUUUUACCGGCACUGAUAAUAACGGUAACAGUAUAGGCAAUAGUUCCAACAAUAUUUUAGGAGGUGACAUGAAGGCGAUAAACGGAAUGGUACUCAAAAGCAAAAACCUGAAUACGCCAGAUGCGGAAGGCUAUAAUAGCAUGAUCAAGGGAGGUUUCGUAAAUCCAAUGAUUGAAGGUAACAUGGCUAUGGCAAAGAGUGACAUGCACAAUGGUCAUUUGAUCCAUUUAAAUGGGAACGUUUAUCAUGAGAUCAACCAACAACAUCAGGAUUCAGAAAUGAAGUCUAAUAGUGACAGCGUUAUGGUAGGAUAUGAUGACAUGCUUUACAUGGAUCAUGAGGAAAAAAAUAAUUGUCACAUUCACUCUGAAAAUAAAAGUUUGUCAAUUCCUCCGUGCAUUCAUACAAGAAUUCGGCCAGAAUUCCACGAAAUAGGAGACAAAGCUAUUGAACUGAUUGUAGGUCCAGCUAAACAUCAGGUCAAAGAAUUUAACAUUUUACCUCUCAAUGUUUUGCGUAUUUCAUACAAUGCAAAAAAUUCGGACUACAUCAUUGUGAAAUUGAUUUGUGACAAGCAAAUCAGGAGGCAUGACCCCACGUGCAUAUUUUUAGCUGGUGUCUCUGCAAAAUAUAGCGUAUCUGAAACUGGAGAGAGCAUUUUACCCAAUAUGAAAAUUAGCAAGGAUAUGCUUCAAGGAAGAACCAAGGGUUUCAAGUUUUACCUGAGUUACACACUUAUUAUGGAUGGUAGAGAAGCAAUGACUAUUAGAAGUGAGCCUUUCCAAAUAUGGUCAAAUGUCAAUCAGUUAGGGUUUCCAAGAAAACAGCGCGAGCGGCAUAUACAAGAGCGAAAAGAUACAAAUAGGAAGAAACGUAAGAUGUCGUCUUGACUGGGACCCUACAAGUAUGGCUUUUGACACCGAUAGAUAAGCAUGGCAUCGCGCAGAUAAAACUGCUGUUUAAAGUUUGUGUAUUAUAUGCAUGUUAGUGUAUUUUUUGAUCCAAUAGACAUGCGACAAGCUCAGACGUCGUCUCGACGGGCCACGUUUUUUACAUUUUUUUCUUGUUGACAAGACGGAAGUAGAUAGGAGACAUAAGUCAUGACGGAUCGCAUCUGUAAGAGGGUUUAAAUUGUCGGGUGAGGGAUUACUGACUUGUUUGACUGUGAAUGGAUUGAUGGCUCGGUGUUAGAAGACGGGUUAGAGAUGAGGCCGUUAAGGCGCGGUGAUUUUGAUAGAGAAUGCGUUUGAGUCUAGAUUUGAAGAGUUGAGGAUGGCCGAGGGAAUGUAUUACAUUGUUGUGAUAGAGGAUAGACGGCAUUCUAGAGUGGUGGCGACGGCUACGUUGGUGGUUGAAAAGAAAUUUAUUCAUGAGGCAGGAAAGGUAGGACAUAUAGAAGAUGUUGUGGUUGACAGUCAAUAUCGUAACAGAGGCUUAGCCAGGGCGUUGGUGAGCUGUCUGUAUGAGAUAAGCAAGAGAUCAGGGUGCUACAAGGUGGUCUUGUAUUGCAAGGAGGAUAACGUUCAUGUUUAUCAGAGAUUAGGAUUUGAGGUAGGUCUGAUUCACAUGGAAAAGAGAGACAAGGGGGCAGGAAACAAGUGAGGUUGGGGGCGUGCGCUCUGAUGAGUGUCAAGAUGCAUAAAAAACAGUGCCUUCUGGGA